UCAUGCUCAGGAUGAACGCUGGCGGCGUGCCUAAUACAUGCAAGUCGAGCGAACGGACGAGAAGCUUGCUUCUCUGAUGUUAGCGGCGGACGGGUGAGUAACACGUGGAUAACCUACCUAUAAGACUGGGAUAACUUCGGGAAACCGGAGCUAAUACCGGAUAAUAUUUUGAACCGCAUGGUUCAAAAGUGAAAGACGGUCUUGCUGUCACUUAUAGAUGGAUCCGCGCUGCAUUAGCUAGUUGGUAAGGUAACGGCUUACCAAGGCAACGAUGCAUAGCCGACCUGAGAGGGUGAUCGGCCACACUGGAACUGAGACACGGUCCAGACUCCUACGGGAGGCAGCAGUAGGGAAUCUUCCGCAAUGGGCGAAAGCCUGACGGAGCAACGCCGCGUGAGUGAUGAAGGUCUUCGGAUCGUAAAACUCUGUUAUUAGGGAAGAACAUAUGUGUAAGUAACUGUGCACAUCUGACGGUACCUAAUCAGAAAGCCACGG
RNAcentral lists this ribosomal RNA (495 nucleotides) under Staphylococcus aureus. Its description in RNAcentral is "bacterial SSU rRNA". It matches the Rfam family "Bacterial small subunit ribosomal RNA", at positions 18 to 496 of the family's 1533-position model. The record is from RNAcentral. Lineage: Bacteria; Bacillati; Bacillota; Bacilli; Caryophanales; Staphylococcaceae.